Molecule: ribosomal RNA, 154 nt
Organism: Solanum lycopersicum (tomato)
Lineage: Eukaryota; Viridiplantae; Streptophyta; Magnoliopsida; Solanales; Solanaceae
Product: 5.8S ribosomal RNA
Source: RefSeq, a predicted model, not a curated record
GAUUCUCGGCAAUGGAUAUCCCGGCUCGUAUCGAUGAAGAACGUAGUGAAAUGUUAUACUUGGUGUGAAUUGCAUAAUCCCGUGAACCAUCGAGUCUUUGAACGCAAGUAGCGCCCGAAGCCAUUUGGCUGAGGGCACAUCUACCAGGGCAUCA